RNAcentral lists this ribosomal RNA (254 nucleotides) under uncultured bacterium. RNAcentral describes it as "partial 16S ribosomal RNA". It matches the Rfam family "Bacterial small subunit ribosomal RNA", at positions 524 to 776 of the family's 1533-position model. The record is from RNAcentral.
UACAGAGGGUGCGAGCGUUGUUCGGAAUUACUGGGCGUAAAGCGCGCGCAGGCGGCCCUUUAAGUCCACUGGUCAAAAGCCGGGGCUCAACCCCGAGCUCGCCAGGGAUACUGGAGGGCUGGAGACACGUAGAGGCAAGCGGAAUUCCGGGCGUAGCGGUGGAAUGCGUAGAGAUCCGGAAGAACACCGGAGGCGAAGGCGGCUUGCUGGGCGUGAUCUGACGCUGAGGCGCGAAAGCGUGGGGAGCGAACAGG